GGCAGGGACCUCAUCAACAUAAAUUAUAUAUUAUUAUUCAAUAAACACAAUUGCAGUCAUUAAAAUACAUAUAUACACCAAGGAAAAAGAAGAAACUUAAAGAAGAGUGGCUGAGCAAUAACCUAUUUGGUAGCUAUAAAGAGGAAGGUAGGAAAGUUCAGAUCCUCUUUGGCUGUCCAAAGAAUAAUGAUAAUAAUCACAACAAUACAAUGAAAGAAAUAAGAUAGAAGCCCAAGAAUAGAGGUGCAAAAAGAGAGGGAUUGGAGUAAAGAUGUUUUUCUUCCAUUGAUUUGGUAGAAGUAUAGAAGUUAACAAAAUGCUGAAUAAAUCUUUUUACACUGCAUCUACUCUUACUUUUAGUCUUGAACCCCACCUUCCAAAAAUCUUGGCAAGAAUCAUCUGA
This 403-nucleotide unclassified non-coding RNA is filed under the name Hevea brasiliensis (rubber tree). Lineage: Eukaryota; Viridiplantae; Streptophyta; Magnoliopsida; Malpighiales; Euphorbiaceae. The record is from RNAcentral.